ACGGAGGGUGCAAGCGUUAUCCGGAUUUAUUGGGUUUAAAGGGUGCGUAGGCGGUUAUAUAAGUCAGCGGUGAAAUUUUUCGGCCCAACCGGAAACAUGCCGUUGAUACUGUAUAGCUUGAAUAUGGUUGCUGUGAGUGGAAUAUGUAGUGUAGCGGUGAAAAACUUAGAUAUUACACAGAAUAUCGAUUGCGAAGGAAACUCACAAGGACAUUAUUGACGCUGAGGCUCGAAAAUGUGGGGCUCAAACAG
Molecule: ribosomal RNA, 251 nt
Filed under: uncultured prokaryote
Description: partial 16S rRNA
Rfam family: Bacterial small subunit ribosomal RNA
Source: RNAcentral